Molecule: ribosomal RNA, 247 nt
Filed under: uncultured bacterium
Lineage: Bacteria
Description: partial 16S ribosomal RNA
Rfam family: Bacterial small subunit ribosomal RNA
Source: RNAcentral
ACACGUAGGGGGCAAGCGUUGUCCGGAUUUAUUGGGCGUAAAGAGCUCGUAGGCGGUUUGGUAAGUCGGGUGUGAAAACUCAGGGCUCAACCCUGAGACGCCACUCGAUACUGCCUGACUAGAGUCCGGUAGGGGAGCAUGGAAUUCCUGGUGUAGCGGUGAAAUGCUUAGAUAUCAGGAGGAACACCAGUGGCGAAGGCGGUGCUCUGGGCCGGAACUGACGCUGAGGAGCGAAAGCGUGGGUAGC